RNAcentral lists this long non-coding RNA (408 nucleotides) under Androctonus crassicauda. Lineage: Eukaryota; Metazoa; Arthropoda; Arachnida; Scorpiones; Buthidae. The record is from RNAcentral.
GUAUUAUAUAGAGGCAAAAAAUCAAGGGGCAAAAAAUUCAAUGAAAGUACAAAAUCUGUAAUCAUGUAUGACUUUUGCAAAAAACUAUUGAUGUAGUUUAAUUUCUCUAAAAAGUACAUUUCUCUGAAAGCAUCUGGAUUUUUUUAUCUAAAGUAGUUUCCAGGAUGUGAAGAUUUUAUGGAGUUAUAUUGAACUUUGAUUAAUUUUGUCACUCCUUUAAACUGAAUCAUCGCUACUAAAAAAAUGUCUUGCAUCUAUUAAUGGUAUCAUCAAUUCAUCAUUCUGUAAAAAGUUAAUCAAAAUCGGUGUUUUUUAAUUGGGUAAUUUUCGUAGACUACAGGGCCGGGUUCCAGCGAAUGCGCUGAACCUGCCUUGCACCAGCCCUGUGCUUCGUUUUAAAAUUGCAUA